RNAcentral lists this ribosomal RNA (405 nucleotides) under uncultured bacterium. RNAcentral's name for it is "bacterial SSU rRNA". It matches the Rfam family "Bacterial small subunit ribosomal RNA", at positions 355 to 774 of the family's 1533-position model. The record is from RNAcentral.
UGGGGGAUAUUGCACAAUGGAGGAAACUCUGAUGCAGCGACGCCGCGUGAGGGAAGAAGGUCUUCGGAUUGUAAACCUCUGUCUUUGGGGACGAAGAAAGUGACGGUACCCAAAGAGGAAGCCACGGCUAACUACGUGCCAGCAGCCGCGGUAAUACGUAGGUGGCGAGCGUUGUCCGGAAUUACUGGGUGUAAAGGGUGCGUAGGCGGACUGGCAAGUUGGAUGUGAAAUCUCCGCGCUUAACGUGGAGGUUGCAUUCAAAACUGUUGGUCUUGGGUGAGGCAGAGGCAGGCGGAAUUCCCGGUGUAGCGGUGAAAUGCGUAGAGAUCGGGAGGAACACCAGUGGCGAAGGCGGCCUGCUGGGCCUUAACUGACGCUGAGGCACGAAAGCAUGGGUAGCAAACA